GCCAGGUGCCUUGGCAUGUGCCUGUAGUCUCAGAGACUCGGGAGGCUGAGGUGGGACCAUUGCUUAAGCCCGGGAGUUCUGGGCUGUAGUGUGCUAUGCUGAUCGGGGUCCACACUAAGUUUGGCAUCAAUAUGGUGACCUCUUGGGAAUGGGGGACCACCAGGUUGCCUAAAGAGGGGUGAACCGUCCCAGGUCAAAAACAGAGCGGGUCAAAACUCCCAUGCUGAUCAGUGGUGGGAUUGCGCCUGUGAAUAGCCACUGCACUCCAGCCUGGGCAACAUAGCGAGACCCCAUCUCUA
Molecule: unclassified non-coding RNA, 299 nt
Organism: Callithrix jacchus (white-tufted-ear marmoset)
Lineage: Eukaryota; Metazoa; Chordata; Mammalia; Primates; Cebidae
Rfam family: Metazoan signal recognition particle RNA
About the family: The signal recognition particle (SRP) is a universally conserved ribonucleoprotein.
Source: Ensembl